UUUAAAUUGAGAGUUUGAUCCUGGCUCAGGAUGAACGCUGGCGGCGUGCCUAAUACAUGCAAGUCGUACGCUAGCCGCUGAAUUGAUCCUUCGGGUGAAGUGAGGCAAUGACUAGAGUGGCGAACUGGUGAGUAACACGUAAGAAACCUGCCCUUUAGUGGGGGAUAACAUUUGGAAACAGAUGCUAAUACCGCGUAACAACAAAUCACACAUGUGAUCUGUUUGAAAGGUCCUUUUGGAUCGCUAGAGGAUGGUCUUGCGGCGUAUUAGCUUGUUGGUAGGGUAGAAGCCUACCAAGGCAAUGAUGCGUAGCCGAGUUGAGAGACUGGCCGGCCACAUUGGGACUGAGACACUGCCCAAACUCCUACGGGAGGCUGCAGUAGGGAAUUUUCCGCAAUGCACGAAAGUGUGACGGAGCGACGCCGCGUGUGUGAUGAAGGCUUUCGGGUCGUAAAGCACUGUUGUAAGGGAAGAAUAACUGAAUUCAGAGAAAGUUUUCAGCUUGACGGUACCUUACCAGAAAGGGAUGGCUAAAUACGUGCCAGCAGCCGCGGUAAUACGUAUGUCCCGAGCGUUAUCCGGAUUUAUUGGGCGUAAAGCGAGCGCAGACGGUUUAUUAAGUCUGAUGUGAAAUCCCGAGGCCCAACCUCGGAACUGCAUUGGAAACUGAUUUACUUGAGUGCGAUAGAGGCAAGUGGAACUCCAUGUGUAGCGGUGAAAUGCGUAGAUAUGUGGAAGAACAC
RNAcentral lists this ribosomal RNA (743 nucleotides) under Oenococcus oeni. Its description in RNAcentral is "bacterial SSU rRNA". It matches the Rfam family "Bacterial small subunit ribosomal RNA", at positions 1 to 709 of the family's 1533-position model. Lineage: Bacteria; Bacillati; Bacillota; Bacilli; Lactobacillales; Lactobacillaceae. The record is from RNAcentral.